This is a long non-coding RNA of Micropterus dolomieu (smallmouth bass), 678 nucleotides long. RefSeq lists it as uncharacterized. The record is from RefSeq and is a predicted model, not a curated record. The transcript is spliced from 2 exons. Lineage: Eukaryota; Metazoa; Chordata; Actinopteri; Centrarchiformes; Centrarchidae.
AGUUUAAACUUGUAUUGUUGUGAAUCUUUGGUGUAAACUCGCCUUAGAAUUGCCAACUAACAAACGCCCCCCCCCAAAAGCAGCUCAGCGCCCCUCCUAAAUAUAGCUUGCAGCGCCCUCCAUCGUCCUCAGAACGCCUCGGUACCGCCCCCGUUGAGAAACACUAUUCUACUGGAAGAUUCUCCUCAAUCCACAGAGACACGCUGGAGUUCUAAGGCCCUUCUCCCCCGAUUGCUCAAUUUGGCCGGGCGGCCAGCUCUAGGAUGAUGGAGACCAUGGUGCUCAUUGGGACCUUCAAUGCAGCAGAAAUUUUUCUGUACCCUUCCCCAGAUCUGUGCCUUGAUACAAUCCUGUCUCGGAGGUCUACAGACAUGCAAGGGUUCCAAGGUACAAUAUGUCUGUGCAGUGACUCACCAGGAGGAAGCAGGGGCUGACAAACUUCCAGCACAGCCUCCAGUACAUGCCUGGUCGCUGCCCAAUCAUCUCCUCAAUGUCAUCGCUGAAUCGGUCCACUCCUGAAACACAUGGAAACACUUGAUAUUACUUCCAAGUCAUGGUUAAAUACAACCAUUGCUAAAAUUGUCAAAUGCAUAUACUGUACUAUGUAUUAAAUUCACAGCAGGUUUGGGGUACUGUCCUUUUAUAAAUCAAAUUAAAAGUUGGCCAUGCAGAAACCCA